Molecule: ribosomal RNA, 564 nt
Filed under: Triticum aestivum (bread wheat)
Lineage: Eukaryota; Viridiplantae; Streptophyta; Magnoliopsida; Poales; Poaceae
Description: partial small subunit ribosomal RNA
Source: RNAcentral
AUGGGGGCUCGUGCUAUAAUGGCAAACUAUGUUAAUGCAUACUCACCUAAAGUAACUCGUAUAAUAGGGGGAUGGAGUAUCCCUCAUGGUGGUUUUGUGAAGGUGAAUGUUAAUGCCGCUUUCGAUCAUGAUCUUUUCCAAGGCACAGUGGUGGCGGUCCUGAGAGAUGACAAGGGGAGGUUCAUCGUUCGUGGAAACUGGAAGAUUGAUUGGUGUGAUGAUGUAUUAACAGCAAAAGCUCAGACUCUAAAGUUUGGCUUAUUCCUUGCACAGAUGGCGGGCUGCACCCGCCUUGUUGUAAAUUCAGAAAACAUGGAAGUGAUCGACACAAUGAAGAAUGGAGGACACUCGGUGGGAGCGGCAGGUGCAGUUUUUGAUGAUUGCUAUGUUUUGGCUUGUGAUUUUCCUGUAGUUAAAUUUGUACAUUGUAAUACGAAAGCAAAUAAAGUGGCACAUGAAAUAGCUAGGUUAGCAAAAAUUUCAGCCACUAGGGAUGGGUUUGAGGAGCCUAUGAAUGAUAGUGUACCUCUUGUUAUGGACGAUGUAACAAUUAUUUCUAAUUAA